UACAGAGGUCUCAAGCGUUGUUCGGAUUCAUUGGGCGUAAAGGGUGCGUAGGUGGUGAUGCAAGUCUGGUGUGAAAUCUCGGAGCUCAACUCCGAAAUUGCACCGGAUACUGCGUGACUCGAGGACUGUAGAGGAGAUCGGAAUUCCCGGUGUAGCGGUGAAAUGUGUAGAGAUCGGGAGGAACACCGGUGGCGAAGGCGGGUCUCUGGGCAUUUCCUGACGCUGAGGCGCGAAAGCGUGGGGAGCAAACGGG
This 253-nucleotide ribosomal RNA is filed under the name uncultured bacterium. Its description in RNAcentral is "partial 16S ribosomal RNA". It matches the Rfam family "Bacterial small subunit ribosomal RNA", at positions 524 to 776 of the family's 1533-position model. The record is from RNAcentral.